AUGCAAGUCGAGCGGGCAUCCUUGUGGUGUCAGCGGCAGACGGGUGAGUAACGCGUGGGAACGUGCCCUUCGGUUCGGAAUAACUCAGGGAAACUUGAGCUAAUACCGGAUACGCCCUUAUGGGGAAAGGCUUGACUGCCGAAGGAUCGGCCCGCGUCUGAUUAGCUAGUUGGUGAGGUUAUGGCUCACCAAGGCGACGAUCAGUAGCUGGUCUGAGAGGAUGAUCAGCCACACUGGGACUGAGACACGGCCCAGACUCC
This 260-nucleotide ribosomal RNA is filed under the name uncultured bacterium. RNAcentral describes it as "partial 16S ribosomal RNA". It matches the Rfam family "Bacterial small subunit ribosomal RNA", at positions 55 to 339 of the family's 1533-position model. The record is from RNAcentral.